This 515-nucleotide ribosomal RNA is filed under the name uncultured bacterium. RNAcentral describes it as "partial 16S ribosomal RNA". It matches the Rfam family "Bacterial small subunit ribosomal RNA", at positions 28 to 523 of the family's 1533-position model. The record is from RNAcentral.
GAUGAACGCUGGCGGCGUGCCUAAUACAUGCAAGUCGAGCGAAUGGAUUAAGAGCUUGCUCUUAUGAAGUUAGCGGCGGACGGGUGAGUAACAUGUGGGUAACCUGCCCAUAAGACUGGGAUAACUCCGGGAAACCGGGGCUAAUACCGGAUAACAUUUUGAACCGCAUGGUUCGAAAUUGAAAGGCGGCUUCGGCUGUCACUUAUGGAUGGACCCGCGUCGCAUUAGCUAGUUGGUGAGGUAACGGCUCACCAAGGCAACGAUGCGUAGCCGACCUGAGAGGGUGAUCGGCCACACUGGGACUGAGACACGGCCCAGACUCCUACGGGAGGCAGCAGUAGGGAAUCGUCCGCAAUGGACGAAAGUCUGACGGAGCAACGCCGCGUGAGUGAUGAAGGCUUUCGGGUCGUAAAACUCUGUUGUUAGGGAAGAACAAGUGCUAGUUGAAUAAGCUGGCACCUUGACGGUACCUAACCAGAAAGCCACGGCUAACUACGUGCCAGCCGCCGCGGUAA